This 454-nucleotide ribosomal RNA is filed under the name uncultured bacterium. RNAcentral's name for it is "SSU rRNA". It matches the Rfam family "Bacterial small subunit ribosomal RNA", at positions 26 to 518 of the family's 1533-position model. The record is from RNAcentral.
AGAGCGAACGCUGGCGGCAUGCUUAACACAUGCAAGUCGCACGGUUGGGGGGCAACUUCCGGCAGUGGCGGACGGGUGAGUAACGCGUAGGGAUCUAUCCAUGGGUGGGGGACAACCGCGGGAAACCGCGGCUAAUACCGCAUGAUGCCUGAGGGCCAAAGCUCGCGAGAGCGCCUGGGGAGGAGCCUGCGUCCGAUUAGCUAGUUGGUGGGGUAACGGCCACCAAGGCGUCGAUCGGUAGCUGGUCUGAGAGGACGAUCAGCCACACUGGGAUUGAGAACGGCCCAGACUCCUACGGGGGGCAGCAGUGAGGAAUUUCGUCAAUGGGGGCAACCCUGAACGAGCAACGCCGCGUGCAGGAAGAAGGUUUUCGGAUCGUAAACUGCUUUUCUCGGGGAAGAGAACGGACGGUACCCGAGGAAUCAGCCCCGGCUAACUACGCGCCAGCAGCCGC